Molecule: ribosomal RNA, 689 nt
Filed under: uncultured bacterium
Lineage: Bacteria
Description: bacterial SSU rRNA
Rfam family: Bacterial small subunit ribosomal RNA
Source: RNAcentral
GUAGUCCACGCCCUAAACGAUGUCAACUGGUUGUUGGGAGGGUUUCUUCUCAGUAACGUAGCUAACGCGUGAAGUUGACCGCCUGGGGAGUACGGUCGCAAGGUUGAAACUCAAAGGAAUUGACGGGGACCCGCACGAGCGGUGGAUGAUGUGGUUUAAUUCGAUGCAACGCGAAAAACCUUACCUACCCUUGACAUGUCAGGAAUCUUGCAGAGAUGUGAGAGUGCUCGAAAGAGAACCUGAACACAGGUGCUGCAUGGCCGUCGUCAGCUCGUGUCGUGAGAUGUUGGGUUAAGUCCCGCAACGAGCGCAACCCUUGUCAUUAGUUGCUACGAAAGGGCACUCUAAUGAGACUGCCGGUGACAAACCGGAGGAAGGUGGGGAUGACGUCAGGUCAUCAUGGCCCUUAUGGGUAGGGCUACACACGUCAUACAAUGGCCGGGACAGAGGGCUGCCAACCCGCGAGGGGGAGCUAAUCCCAGAAACCCGGUCGUAGUCCGGAUCGCAGUCUGCAACUCGACUGCGUGAAGUCGGAAUCGCUAGUAAUCCCAGAUCAGCACGCUGGGGUGAAUACGUUCCCGGGCCUUGUACACACCGCCCGUCACAUCACGAAAGUUGGUUGUACCGGAAGCCGGUGCUCUAACCCUUCGGGGGGGAAGCCGUCCAUGGUAUGCCCAGCGAUUGGGGUG